UCUUAACCACUGAGCCAUCUCACCAGCCCAAUUUUAUUAUUUUUUUUAUUCUCAGUUCUUUUCUUGUUUUCUUUUUUUUGGGGGGAAGUAUUGUUCAUUGAACCUAGGGCCUGAGACAUGUUAGUCAACCCCCUAAUUACUGAUCUGCAUCUUAGCCUAAUAAAAAAAUUAGCCUAAUAUUCUUUUUUUUUUUUCUUUUUCUGUCUUUUGAGACAGGUUUUCUCUGUGUCUAGCCCUGGAUGCCUAGCACUUGCUCUGUAGACCAGGCUGAUCUCGAAGUAUCCUUACUUUUAAUCACGUGGGGUACAUACACAUGUCACAUGGGCCAGAGAACCCCUCUGGUGGUCAGUUCUACCUUCUCAACCUUGACGUGAGUCCCAGGGAUUGAACUCCGGUCUUCAGGAUUGGUGGCAGGUGCCUUUUCCCCAUGAGCCACCAUCUUGCUGACCGAAGUUUUGGCUCUUUUGAGAUGGGAUCUCACUGUAUACAUGCCAGCUUGGGCUGGCAUAGAACUCAGGCUCUCCCUUUACCAACCUCAGCAAGCCUGCGCUGCCAUAUCCAGUUGUGCAUGCUGCUUUUUAUGUGUAGCCCUGGCUGUCCUAGAACUCUCUCUGUAGAGCAGGGUGGCCUUGAACUCAACAGAUCUCUGCCUGCCUCUCCCUCUUGAUUAAAGGCAUGUACUACCAUACCUGACUUUAAAAGAUUUAUUUUAAAUUAUGUGUUUAUACAUGUGUCUUUGUGUGUGCACAUGAGUGCAGUGACCACGGAGGCCGGAAGGGGGCGUCAGACCCCCUGGAACUGGAGUUUCAGGUGAUUGAGAGCUGCCCAGUGUGGGUGCUGGGAACCGGAAUUGAGUCUUCUGUGGAAGCAGCCAGUGCUCUUAGGCUGUGAGCCAUCUCUCCAGCCUCACCCAACUUCUUUCAUUUAUUAUUUAUCUAUUAUUUUAUUUUUGAGACAAGUUCUCCCAUUAAGCCUGUUCACCGGUUCAGCGGGGAGCUCUGAGGCUCCUCCUGUCUCUGCCUUCCUUUGUGCGUUUUGCAGGCAGGGUGCAGGGACCAGAACUCAGACCCUGCUGCUUGUCUAGCAUGGUUUUGUUUUGUUUGUUUGUUUGUUUAGGGUUUUUUUUGAGACAGGGUUUCUCUGUAUAGUCCUGGCUGUCCUGGUACUCUCUUUGUAGACCAGGCUGGCCUCGAACUCAGAAAUCCGCCUGCCUCUGCCUCUCAAGUGCUGGGAUUAAAGGCGUGUGCCACCACUGCAUGGCUGGCAUGGUUUUAUGAACUGGGUUAUCUCCUGGCCCUGUUGAUGCUGUGUUUUAUUGAACAUGUACUGUGUGUAUGCCCAUGAACUAAAUAACCAUAAUGUUCAUACCUUUCUGGUAGGAAUAACUUCCCCAUCUGUAGCCAGGACACCGCUUCUCCAAUCAUAAUUAUAAUAAGCAAUCUGGUUUGUAUUUAGUUUUGUUUUUUGAGACAGCAUCUCACUACUUAGACGAGGCUGGCCUCAAACCCGAAGAGAUCCUGCUGCCUCUGCCUCCUGAGCAUUGGGAUUAAAGGUUUAAGACACCACACCUGCCCAUAAAAGUUUUAAACACCUCUGUGUGAUGGAGAAAGGACCAAGCCCAAGGCCAGAGAGGUUAAAGGUUUCUCUCCAGGCCACACAGCUGACAGGAGAUCUGUAGGGGCGGGACUGGGGAUGAACUCAAGGCGCUGUGCAUACUGGGAAACUGCUCUGCUACUGUUAAGGAGAGCUAGCCCAGCCCUUGCCUGUUGUCCUACCCUGGGUUGGGGAGACCAAAAUGUCCUUCUGAGUGCUGACCCCAGCCGCUUGGCACAUGAGCACUGUCAGCUGGGAAAAGGACCAGACCUAGUCUCAGGGAAUCCCUGGGCACUGGGCGGCCCACCCUUCCCCCAAAGCAUCUAGGGCCAUGAGGAGGGUGGGCGGGCUUCCCAGAGGGUGUGAGUUUUGAAGAUUGAACAGGAGUUCUCCAAGCACAAAUUGACAGCUUUUGCUGGAGACCCCAUUAGAGGUUAAGGCUGUCAGACCGACGGCCUCAUUCUCCAGCCGAGAAUGAAGCUUAGGGCUGUGGAGGAGGCUGAGUGGACAGUUCUAAUCCUUUCCCUCUUUCUUGCAGACUCCGUUGGGUACCCCAAAAGGUAAGCUUCCAGCCAGGACAUGCGGCCUCUGGUGCCCUCUGGUGGUGAGAUGUGGGAUGGUGGGUGAGGGUGAAGAACUCUCAAUCAGCACACUUUAUGGAUCAGGCUGCGGUGGAGGAGACCAGAGGAGUGCCCUGGCCACAUCCACUCUCUGUGUCAUAGUCCCCAGCCGGCUGGCCUCUGGCCUAACAUCUGUAAACUGUCACCGCUGUCAUCCCGGUGCUGAGUGGGCCACGGUGGGAGGAACCUGGGCUUCACUGACAGACCAGCUCAGCCUAAUCAGUAAACUUCAGGCUCCACGAGAAACAGGCAGGAUUGGGAGGUUGCUCAAUGGUCAAGCUGCGCCUCCAGGGACCUGAGUACAGUUCCCAGCACCCAUGUCAGGCAGCUCCAGGGGACCCGAUUCCAUGAGCAUCUGCAUACUCAUGUACACACCUACGCACCUAAGAUAUAAUACACUUAGGAAAUACCCUGCCUGAGAGGUAGAAAGCAAUUGACAAAGACACAGACUGUCAACUUUGGGCUUCUGUGUGCACACGCACAUUUGUAUACACGUCCUCAUGAAUAAGUACACAUACCACACACACAUUUUUUUUUUAAAGAUUUAUUUAUUAUAUGUAAGUACACUGUAGCUAUCCUCAGAUACUCCAGAAGAGAGCAUCAGAUUUCAUUACGGAUGGUUGUGAGCCACCAUGUGGUUGCUGGGAUUUGAACUUAGGACCUUUGGAAGAGCAGUCGGAGCUCUUAACAACUGAGCCAUCUCGCCAGCCCCACACACACAUUUUUAAAAAAGAGAGAUGGCCAGGCGGUGGUGGCACACACCUAAUCCCAGCACUUGGAGGUAGAGGCAGGUGGAUCUCUGAUUUCAAGACCAGCCUGGUCUACAUAACGAGUUCUAGGACAGCCAGGGCUACACAGAGGG
Molecule: long non-coding RNA, 3075 nt
Filed under: Mus musculus (house mouse)
Lineage: Eukaryota; Metazoa; Chordata; Mammalia; Rodentia; Muridae
Description: long non-coding RNA chr10:79810211-79813286
Source: RNAcentral